Molecule: long non-coding RNA, 778 nt
Organism: Passer domesticus (house sparrow)
Lineage: Eukaryota; Metazoa; Chordata; Aves; Passeriformes; Passeridae
Exons: 3
Source: RefSeq, a predicted model, not a curated record
ACUCACCCUUGUUUAACCUUGUGACACAGCAUGGCACCAGGAAUUCCUUGCCUAAGCAAUGCUUUGUAGAAUGUUUUCCCUACAGGCUUUACCUGAAAUGUGCACAGCUCCUCAGUUGGUAUUUUCACUGAUUGCUGUCCAGGCAAACUGAAAUUUGAUAUUAAAAGCACAUCUUUGGCUUCUCAGCCCUGCAGGGAUUACAUGAACAUAGAUCCACACCGAAAGGGCAAAGAACACCAGCACUGGAAACUGUUCUGCAUGUCACGGGGUCACUCCAAACCCUCCCCCUGGGAACAGUAUCUCCCUGGCCUAGGUCUGUUCAUCAUGGAGUUCAGGGGGAAUUUUGAAGCCUGAUAACUUGCAGUAAAUGAGAAGAUGGAAAGACUGGAAUGACUGGGACAUUUGGAGCAGCUGAGCAGCAGGAGGAUGCUGGGGCUGUGAGGCCCUCGGGGUGGCUGGGAACCAUUCCAGAGGACCCCAGGAACCACACAAAAGGGUCUGAUCCAAACCAAACUCAUAAUUCUGACAGGAAUAGAUGAAAGGAUGAAAGGAGCACAUGAAUGCAUAGAAAUAGAACAAAACCAAACAAAUACAUGCUUCACCAGUGAUUAUUGUACCAUUACUCUGAUCUACUGCUGCUCAGAUAAAGAGGCUAAAUAAAAAGGCAAGCAAAGACCCAGUUGAUGCUGAUACUUGUAUUGUAAACUGCUGCAGCUGAAACAGCAGGGAACAUCUUCAGCAAUAUCCAAAGUUAUGACAGGACAAAUGGGGAAAAAAG